GAUGAAGAACGCAGCGAAAUGCGAUAAGUAAUGUGAAUUGCAGAAUUCAGUGAAUCAUCGAAUCUUUGAACGCACAUUGCGCCCGCCAGUAUUCUGGCGGGCAUGCCUGUUCGAGCGUCAUUUCAACCAUCAAGCCCCCGGCUUGUGUUGGGGACCUGCGGCUGCCGCAGGCCCUGAAAAGCAGUGGCGGGCUCGCUGUCACACCGAGCGUAGUAGCAUACAUCUCGCUCUGGGCGUGCUGCGGGUUCCGGCCGUUAAACCACCUUCAUAACCCAAGGUUGACCUCGGAUCAGGUAGGAAGACCCGCUGAACUUAAGCAUAUCGAUAAGCGGAGGA
RNAcentral lists this unclassified non-coding RNA (336 nucleotides) under soil metagenome. RNAcentral describes it as "partial contains 5.8S ribosomal RNA, internal transcribed spacer 2, and large subunit ribosomal RNA". The stretch from base 1 to 120 matches the Rfam family "5.8S ribosomal RNA", at positions 35 to 154 of the family's 154-position model. The record is from RNAcentral.